UACGAAGGGUGCAAGCGUUACUCGGAAUUACUGGGCGUAAAGGGUGCGUAGGUGGUUGUUUAAGUCUGCUGUGAAAGCCCCGGGCUCAACCUGGGAAUGGCAGUGGAUACUGGACAGCUAGAGUGCGGUAGAGGGUAGUGGAAUUCCCGGUGUAGCAGUGAAAUGCGUAGAGAUCGGGAGGAACACCAGCGGCGAAGGCGGCUACCUGGACCAGCACUGACACUGAAGCACGAAAGCGUGGGGAGCAAACAGG
RNAcentral lists this ribosomal RNA (253 nucleotides) under uncultured bacterium. Its description in RNAcentral is "partial 16S ribosomal RNA". It matches the Rfam family "Bacterial small subunit ribosomal RNA", at positions 524 to 776 of the family's 1533-position model. The record is from RNAcentral.